GCGCCGCGAGGAGGAGGCCCUGCUGGUUUCUGUGCGGAAGACAAGACGGCAGCUGAGGAUGCCAUACGCAACCUGCACCAUUACAAGCUUCAUGGGGUGAACAUCAACGUGGAAGCCAGCAAGAAUAAGAGCAAAACCUCAACAAAGUUGCAUGUGGGCAACAUCAGUCCCACCUGCACCAAUAAGGAGCUUCGAGCCAAGUUUGAGGAGUAUGGUCCGGUCAUCGAAUGUGACAUCGUGAAAGAUUAUGCCUUCGUACACAUGGAACGGGCAGAGGAUGCAGUGGAGGCCAUCAGGGGCCUUGAUAACACAGAGUUUCAAGGUGGGAUGUGUGUGGGCUGAAAUUCCGAGCUGCGGUUGUGCAUGAGAAUACACCCUUCGUGGUACCCCAUCUCCGGGACGUUCUCGGCUCUGUGCGUUCAGUCCCUCAGGAACCGUGGACCUUAAUUUACCUUGCUAAGUUCAGACCUUCUCUUCCUUUCCUUUCCUCUCCUGCCCAUUUUCCUGUUUUUCUGUCCUUCAAUACUUCUGUAGCUUCCCAUUCAUGUUCUGUUCUCCCAGCAGGCCUCAUUGUGUGCAGAAACUGUGGUGGGGGCUGUGCUGUCUCCUCCCUGCCUCCUGCCUCCUGCGGCUGUUGGAUUUGGGAAUGACCUUGGUGAGAGUCUCACUGCUCCAGGGUCUCUUUUUGGUCCAAAGGCUAGACCUAUAGAGUUGGAUCACUUUUUUUCUUUCCGGUGAAAUAAAUGGUUUUUCAACUUA
This 759-nucleotide small RNA is filed under the name Pongo abelii (Sumatran orangutan). Its description in RNAcentral is "processed transcript". Lineage: Eukaryota; Metazoa; Chordata; Mammalia; Primates; Hominidae. The record is from RNAcentral.